Molecule: long non-coding RNA, 400 nt
Filed under: Trifolium pratense (red clover)
Lineage: Eukaryota; Viridiplantae; Streptophyta; Magnoliopsida; Fabales; Fabaceae
Description: long non-coding RNA (TPRA_LNC013236)
Source: RNAcentral
AUUAAUGUGUGUAUUUGUCUAUCUGUCAGCUUGGUUUGGCACUCCCAAGGACAAGGAGUUCUGGACAACUUGGUUUGGCACUUUUUUAUUAUGUGAUUUGCCACUUCUUUUGUUAUUAUUUUCUCUCUCUAUUUUCCAGUUAUUUGAGAUAUAAAAACAAUAAGAAUUUUUCUCCUAAAUUAGAAGCAUAAUAGAGAAUUUGAAUAUGCUGUCCUUUCCUAAAUUGGUAUCUGUCACAAUCAUUUGUGUUGUUGUGCUUUCAUUUGGUGAUCUCUACCGUGACUGAAUUCUAUACAUUUCUUUUAUCUUCUUCAAUUAUUUUCUGGCCGUGUUUUACCUAUACUCUAAUAGCAUACUAACUGAGAUAGACUUCAAUUAUUUCAUGUUCUAAUAGCAUACU